CAAGUUUGGAAGCAUCCGGCAAGGCUCCAUUAAAAACAACAUUAUUUCUAAGCUUCCAUAAGCACCAUGUAGUGGCCAGCCAAAUCAAAUGACGAAUCCGAUUACCUUUUUUUGAUUUAACCAAAGAACCAAAGGAUAAAAAGUGAUUCCAACCUUCCUAGUCUGCCGGUAAACUCUGUCCUAACCAUCUAUAUAUAGUUUCCCACACACCUUUAACAAAAGAGCAAUUGAAGAAUAGGUGGGAACAGUCUUCCAUAUGCAUAUAACAAAAAAUACAAGAAAUAUCAUGCGGAUUAUUCAAUAUACCUCUAUGAUGAAGGGCUGCCCGCGUAGAUAGCUUCUCUAGAAGCAAUCUCCAACCAAAAAUAUUAACUUUAGAUGGAACAUCGUUUUUCCAAAGUUUUUGGAUAGCAUCCAAAACAUUUGAAUAUUGAAGCAACAAACUAUAACACGAUUUAACCGUAAAGAGGCCAACCGAAUCCGG
Molecule: long non-coding RNA, 484 nt
Filed under: Trifolium pratense (red clover)
Lineage: Eukaryota; Viridiplantae; Streptophyta; Magnoliopsida; Fabales; Fabaceae
Description: long non-coding RNA (TPRA_LNC007764)
Source: RNAcentral